Molecule: ribosomal RNA, 468 nt
Filed under: uncultured bacterium
Lineage: Bacteria
Description: partial 16S ribosomal RNA
Rfam family: Bacterial small subunit ribosomal RNA
Source: RNAcentral
GACGAACGCUGGCGGCGUGCUUAACACAUGCAAGUCGAGCGGAAAGGCCCUGCUUUUGUGGGGUGCUCGAGUGGCGAACGGGUGAGUAACACGUGAGUAACCUGCCCUUGACUUUGGGAUAACUUCAGGAAACUGGGGCUAAUACCGGAUUGGAGCUCCUGCUGCAUGGUGGGGGUUGGAAAGUUUCGGCGGUUGGGGAUGGACUCGCGGCUUAUCAGCUUGUUGGUGGGGUAGUGGCUUACCAAGGCUUUGACGGGUAGCCGGCCUGAGAGGGUGACCGGCCACAUUGGGACUGAGAUACGGCCCAGACUCCUACGGGAGGCAGCAGUGGGGAAUAUUGCACAAUGGGCGGAAGCCUGAUGCAGCAACGCCGCGUGCGGGAUGACGGCCUUCGGGUUGUAAACCGCUUUCGCCUGUGACGAAGCGUGAGUGACGGUAAUGGGUAGAGAAGCACCGGCUAACUACGUG